Molecule: ribosomal RNA, 513 nt
Filed under: Triticum aestivum (bread wheat)
Lineage: Eukaryota; Viridiplantae; Streptophyta; Magnoliopsida; Poales; Poaceae
Description: partial small subunit ribosomal RNA
Source: RNAcentral
AUGUUGCGGGAGAGGUGUGGCCUCCGUGAUAGUGUAUAUGUGACCGUGGAAGAGAAAGUUGCAAUGUUCUUACUUGUAGUUGGCCAUAGUAUCAAGAAGAGGAUGUUGCGUGGCACCUACAAGCGUUCUUUAUGGACCAUUAGUACACACUUCUCUGCUAUCCUAACAGCCCUACUCUCUCUAUAUGAGGAGUUCAUUAAGCUACCUUCCGCUACCGCUCAAGCUCCUGAUGAUUACAAAUGGAAGUGGUUUGGUAAUGCACUUGGAGCACUAGAUGGUUGCCAUAUUGACGUGCUUGUUGAUGUGGCUGACCAAGGAAGGUAUAGGAACAGAAAGCAAGCCAUUACCACCAACAUGCUAGGUGUUGUUGAUUGGAACAUGAAGUUUCUUUAUGUGUUACCUGGCUGGGAGGGUUCUGUUUCAGGCUCGAGAGUUUUGCGUGAUGCAAUGAGGACAAACCGCCAAGAUGCUUUUGUUAUACCUAAGGGUAUGACUCUUUCUCUUGGCAUGUAG